Molecule: microRNA precursor, 65 nt
Filed under: Dasypus novemcinctus (nine-banded armadillo)
Lineage: Eukaryota; Metazoa; Chordata; Mammalia; Cingulata; Dasypodidae
Description: microRNA dno-mir-16b precursor
Gene: dno-mir-16b
Rfam family: mir-16 microRNA precursor family
About the family: The hairpin precursors (represented here) are predicted based on base pairing and cross-species conservation -- their extents are not known. In this case the mature sequence is excised from the 5' arm of the hairpin.
Source: miRBase by way of RNAcentral
UAGCAGCACGUAAAUAUUGGCGUAGUGAAAUAAAUAUUAAACACCAAUAUUAUUGUGCUGCUCUA